Molecule: ribosomal RNA, 376 nt
Filed under: uncultured Burkholderia sp.
Lineage: Bacteria; Pseudomonadati; Pseudomonadota; Betaproteobacteria; Burkholderiales; Burkholderiaceae
Description: bacterial SSU rRNA
Rfam family: Bacterial small subunit ribosomal RNA
Source: RNAcentral
AAAGCGUGCGCAGGCGGUUUGCUAAGACCGAUGUGAAAUCCCCGGGCUCAACCUGGGAACUGCAUUGGUGACUGGCAGGCUAGAGUAUGGCAGAGGGGGGUAGAAUUCCACGUGUAGCAGUGAAAUGCGUAGAGAUGUGGAGGAAUACCGAUGGCGAAGGCAGCCCCCUGGGCCAAUACUGACGCUCAUGCACGAAAGCGUGGGGAGCAAACAGGAUUAGAUACCCUGGUAGUCCACGCCCUAAACGAUGUCAACUAGUUGUUGGGGAUUCAUUUCCUUAGUAACGUAGCUAACGCGUGAAGUUGACCGCCUGGGGAGUACGGUCGCAAGAUUAAAACUCAAAGGAAUUGACGGGGACCCGCACAAGCGGUGGAUG